RNAcentral lists this unclassified non-coding RNA (2173 nucleotides) under Hevea brasiliensis (rubber tree). Lineage: Eukaryota; Viridiplantae; Streptophyta; Magnoliopsida; Malpighiales; Euphorbiaceae. The record is from RNAcentral.
UUUUUUUUCAUAAUAAAAAAAUUUUAAAUUCUUAUUAGAAUUUCUGUUAACAUAUAAAACGUGAACUAUAUGGACUUACUUAUCACAAAUCAAAUCAAAACCACAUCACUUACUGCUUAAUUAAAGGACUGCCAAGUUACCUCAACUACAGUACAUGAUCUACAUCAAUUCUAUCCCCUAGCCCCAUCAUUACUUCCAACUAGAGAGAAUGACCAUAAACAUCUGCCUACAAUUUCCAUUGAUACUUGUACCAAUCGGAUCUUCAUACAGCUGCAGGUUUCUUGGAAAGCAAAGCUUCCAGAUCUUUAGGGUCGGUGACUGGAGGGCUACAAGUGAAGUUUUGACAGACCAGAGCCACCACCUUAUCUGGAACAAAAUUAUUCUUUGCCAUGAGUGCUAUGUUGCUAUUAUUGUCUUCCCAAAUUUCCAUUUCUUCAUUUUUAGUGGGAUCUAUAUGAAUUACUGUUUUGUUGGGAUCAUAUAAUGUAUGAGCAGCAGCCAGCAUAUUAUCAAACUCCAAGGACUCCCUGUGGCCAACUAAGACAACUUGCUUCCGGGAAGGCACAGAGAUCAAGUCUGCUGCACAACACAUCAAAGGAACUGCCAUAGCCAUGUCUUUUAGUCUUGUCUCGAAAACCGCCAGCAGAUGCUCUGCAUUCUGCCUGUAAUAAUCAGAUUUACUCCCAGCCACCAUAGAAGCCAAUCUUAUAAGAUUAAUUGCAGAAACAGAGUUUCCAGAGGGCUCUGCUCCAUCGUGAUCCUCCUUUACUCGGAGGAGAACUGAAGGGUCUUCCCCUGGGGUAUUAAAAUAGCCUCCUCCCUCUCUAUCAAGAAAUAUUUCAUCCUGUGUAUUCUGUAAUUCAGUUGCCCACACUAGCCAGUAGAUUCCACCACCAAACUCGUAAAGAUCCAGCAGCCCAGAAAUAAGAAAAGCGUAAUCAUCCAAGAACCCAGGUGCUUUAGAUGGACCAUUCCUAAAGCUGUGCUGUAGCCUGCAUGUUUGUUCAUUAUAAAGAUGUCUUCUGAUAAAUGUUGCUGCCUUCUCUGCGACUUCUAAGUACUCCUUGGGAUCACAGCCAACAAUAGGAAAGUGGUAUUUUGUGCCAUCAGUUUCUCGCUUGAGAAUCUUAGAAGCUCUUGCAAAAGAUGAAAUUGCAAGCCCAUUCCAUGAUACAAUUACCUUAUCAUCCAAAUGUGGCCUAGGACGUUUUGAUCUCACAUCAAAAAGCUUUUGCUUACAUUCACCCAGAAUAUCAAGAUAUUUUGAGAUGGGCAAGCCAAGUUUUGAUGCCAAUGCCGAGGUAUCAUUUAAUUCAAUAAGCACAUUUUUCCCCUUAAAUUCAUUAUGAGGAUCACUCAUCCUAGAAAGGUCACAAUUUCCCAGCAGCUUUAUGUAAUAAUGAUCCUUAAAAAGUGUUGCAUGCCCUCCAAGGAUGUCAUCAAUCUCUUUACUGGUCCAUACAUAAAAGGCUCCCUCCUUUUUCUCUUUAGCACCUUCAUGCUCAGCACUGUCAGCAUCCUCUGCUGAAAAGAUUUCACCCUCUGGUCCUAUCAUCUCUCUCCUCAAAUAAUCAAGAACAUCCCGGGAUACAAGUGAAUAGAAGACAUCAUUGGUAAUGGAGAAAGCAUCCGAGUAAACAUUAGCAAGUUGCCCUUGAUCAUACAGCAUUUUCUCAAAAUGAGGAACAUGCCAUCGUUCAUCCACACUAUAUCUGUGAAAGCCACCUCCAAUGUGAUCAUGAAUGCCUCCUUUUGCCAUGCAUUGCAAGCUAAAGAAAACCAUCUUCUGACCUUCCUUUGCUUCACCCUGUUUCCCAGUAUCCUCCAAUUUUUUUGAAUGGUAAAGCAUCAGUUGGAUCUCAACUGGUCUCGGAAACUUUGGAGCAGAUCCAAAUCCACCAUACCUGGAAUCAUAACUUUGAGAAAAUUGCUCUGCACAUAAUUGCAAAGCAUUUUGUGGAAGUCCAUCUGGCAAUUUGUUUGUACUUGCACUUGCUGAUAAUGCUUCAGAUAGCUGCUCAAUAGCAAAGGCUCCACUCUUAGUAAGCAUAUCUCUCUUGUUGUCCCAAGCAUCCUUCACCUUUCUGAGUAUGGUCUUAAAUCCUGGUCUUCCAUAAUUAUCAUCUGGGGGGAAGUAAGUCCCACCCAUCAAAGGUUUCAAAUCAGGUGAAAG